AGAGGAGAAAAAGGGCAGUAUCAUAGCCAAUGAAGUUAAUCUGAGGUGUGAUUAUUGCUAGUUGAAAACUUUUAAAAGAUACAUUUCAGAGAACAAAGGGGACACUCUUUCUCAGUGAAACAGGCAAUUCAUAGUACACAGCACAUGUUCUUUCUGU
RNAcentral lists this small nuclear RNA (157 nucleotides) under Terrapene triunguis (Three-toed box turtle). RNAcentral's name for it is "Terrapene carolina triunguis (Three-toed box turtle) U4 spliceosomal RNA (ENSTMTG00000011206.1)". The stretch from base 11 to 135 matches the Rfam family "U4 spliceosomal RNA". Rfam says of the family: U4 small nuclear RNA (U4 snRNA) is a component of the major U2-dependent spliceosome. The structure of U4 snRNA from yeast and human has been reported. U4 snRNA presents a k-turn RNA motif in the 5p-SL related to recognition of Snu13 protein. Lineage: Eukaryota; Metazoa; Chordata; Testudines; Emydidae. The record is from RNAcentral.